RNAcentral lists this ribosomal RNA (433 nucleotides) under uncultured bacterium. Its description in RNAcentral is "partial 16S ribosomal RNA". It matches the Rfam family "Bacterial small subunit ribosomal RNA", at positions 29 to 507 of the family's 1533-position model. The record is from RNAcentral.
AACGAACGCUGGCGGCAGGCCUAACACAUGCAAGUCGAGCGAGACCUUCGGGUCUAGCGGCGGACGGGUGAGUAACGCGUGGGAACGUGCCCUUUUCUACGGAAUAGCCUCGGGAAACUGAGCGUAAUACCGUAUACGCCCUUUGGGGGAAAGAUUUAUCGGAGAAGGAUCGGCCCGCGUUGGAUUAGGUAGUUGGUGGGGUAAUGGCCUACCAAGCCUACGAUCCAUAGCUGGUUUGAGAGGAUGAUCAGCCACACUGGGACUGAGACACGGCCCAGACUCCUACGGGAGGCAGCAGUGGGGAACCUUAGACAAUGGGGGCAACCCUGAUCGAGCCAUGCCGCGUGUGUGAUGAAGGCCUUAGGGUUGUAAAGCUCUUUCAGCUGGGAAGAUAAUGACGGUACCAGCAGAAGAAGCCCCGGCUAACUCCGUG